Non-coding RNA from Anguilla anguilla (European eel), 871 nucleotides. The record is from the annotation of a RefSeq genome assembly. NCBI's taxonomy places the organism in Eukaryota, Metazoa, Chordata, Actinopteri, Anguilliformes, Anguillidae.
ACAAGUGGGAGGGGAUUCCUGUUAAAACUAUGCAGCGGGAGACAGAGUGGAUGAUGUAUUUUGUUCUAGUUGUGCUUAAAGUCUGAGUUAUUUUUCUUCCUGAAAGCUAUCAUGAUUUUGCAGUGUUUGUCUCUUAUAUUUUCAACAAUGGUGGGUGAUAGUUUUCAAGAUUCAAUAACUCCACUAAAGGACACAGUACAUGCCAUGGAGGAUAGCAAUGUUUCACUGUCAUGCACCUACACUGGCAUUGCAGGCCUUACAAAGUAUCUGCACUGGUAUCGUCAAUAUGACACAUCCAAACCAGAAUUCCUCAUUCUCAUUGGAGAUGUUCGUGGGAGUGAGACGAAGAGAGAUGGACGAUUUAAUGUUAAACUUGAGAACAGCCGCGUGGAUCUGGAGAUCUCCUCUGCUGAAGUGACAGACUCUGCUCUGUACUACUGUGCCCUGCAGCCCACAGUGACAGGAAACCCAUCAUCUCUGUACAAAAACCUGACAGCACUUGAAACCAGUUGCAACAUAAGAACAUUACAAUGUAUGAAGGCAUAAUGAUGCAAAUUUGCAAUUCAGCCCAUCCACACUGCAUUUACCUAAAUGGCAAGCAUAGAAACACUGUUCAAAUUUUACCUCUCCGCUUUGAGUGUUUCAAGUUUUAUAUUCACUAGAUAUUCAUUUAUCAAACUGUAUUCUGACAAUUUUAAGACAAAACCCAGUUUUGUGACUUGAACCUUUGGGUGAUGUGUUUGUAUUAUUAUAUGUGCUUACAGUACUUCUAUAAGUAAUUUAUUCUUCAUGUCAUAUUUAACACUAUUGCAGAUGAACUGUAGCAGAACGCUAACAGUUGAAUUAGAAAUGAACUCAUGAACUGUGGUGU